This 424-nucleotide ribosomal RNA is filed under the name uncultured bacterium. Its description in RNAcentral is "bacterial SSU rRNA". It matches the Rfam family "Bacterial small subunit ribosomal RNA", at positions 917 to 1344 of the family's 1533-position model. The record is from RNAcentral.
GGGCCCGCACAAGCGGUGGAGCAUGUGGUUUAAUUCGAUGAUACGCGAGGAACCUUACCAGGGCUUAAAUGCAGUCUGACAGGUCUGGAAACAGACUUUUCUUCGGACAGAUUGCAAGGUGCUGCAUGGUUGUCGUCAGCUCGUGCCGUGAGGUGUCAGGUUAAGUCCUAUAACGAGCGCAACCCCUGUGGUUAGUUGCCAGCGAGUCAUGUCGGGAACUCUAGCCAGACUGCCGGUGCAAACCGCGAGGAAGGUGGGGAUGACGUCAAAUCAUCACGGCCCUUACGUCCUGGGCCACACACGUGCUACAAUGGUAGGGACAGAGGGCAGCUACCCCGCGAGGGGAUGCGAAUCUUCAAACCCUAUCACAGUUCGGAUUGGAGUCUGCAACUCGACUCCAUGAAGUUGGAAUCGCUAGUAAUCG